CCGGACCACGACCAGCGAGUUGUCUUGUCUGAUAUUGGCGGAAGGUAGCGUUGACUUCGGUGAACGUGUUAUAGCCACCGAUUCGAAGCGAGCGGCGCGUUGGAUUACUCGAUGCCUGCCCUUUGGGCUCGUACGUUGUCCCUUAUUAGGGUGUCGCCGGCUUCACUGCUUCGGCAGGGGAGUUGGAGACGCUUUGGUUCGAGAUGGCCUCUGCGAUUGGCGUCUACAGUCAGUGGUUUCGAAGUAGGCAGUCCACCUGACCCGUCUUGAAACACGGACCAAGGAGUCUAACAUGUGCGCGAGUCAUUGGGCUCUACGAAACCUAAAGGCGCAGUGAAAGUGAAGAUCCAUUUGUUGGAUUGAGGUAGGAUCCUGGGUCACGUGCUCAGGCGCACUACCGGCCCGUCCGAUAUGUCUUCAUACGGGCGGAGCAAGAGCGUACACGUUGGGACCCGAAAGAUGGUGAACUAUGCUUGCGCAGGUCGAAGCCAGAGGAAACUCUGGUGGAGGACCGUAGCGAUUCUGACGUGCAAAUCGAUCGUCAAACGUGAGUAUAGGGGCGAAAGACUAAUCGAACCAUCUAGUAGCUGGUUCCCUCCGAAGUUUCCCUCAGGAUAGCUGGCACUCGGGAAAUGAAACAGUUUUAUCCGGGUAAAGCGAAUGAUUAGAGGUAUUGGGACGAAACUGCUCUCAACCUAUUCUCAAACUUUAAAUGGGUA
Molecule: ribosomal RNA, 719 nt
Filed under: Planocera multitentaculata
Lineage: Eukaryota; Metazoa; Platyhelminthes; Polycladida; Planoceridae
Description: partial 28S rRNA
Rfam family: Eukaryotic large subunit ribosomal RNA
Source: RNAcentral